Molecule: ribosomal RNA, 440 nt
Filed under: uncultured bacterium
Lineage: Bacteria
Description: partial 16S ribosomal RNA
Rfam family: Bacterial small subunit ribosomal RNA
Source: RNAcentral
CCUACGGGUGGCUGCAGUAGGGAAUAUUGCUCAAUGGGGGAAACCCUGAAGCAGCAACGCCGCGUGGAGGAAGAAGGUCUUAGGAAUGUAAACUCCUUUUGUGAGAGAAGAUACUGAGGGUAUCCCACGAAUAAGCACCGGCUAACGCCGUGCCAGCAGCCGCGGUAAUACGGAGGGUGCAAGCGUUACUCGGAAUCACUGGACGUAAAGAGUGCGCAGGCGGGCUUGUAAGUCAGACGUGAAAUCCUGUAGCUUAACUACAGAACUGCAGUUGAAACUAUGAGUCUAGAGUGUGGGAGAGGUAUGUGGAAUUCUUGGUGUAGGGGUAAAAUGCGUAGAUAUCAAGAGGAAUACUCAUUGCGAAGGCGACCUACUGGAACAUUACUGACGCUCAUGCACGAAAGCGUGGGGAGCAAACAGGAUUAGAUACCCCUGUAGUC